UACGGAGGAUGCAAGCGUUAUCCGGAUUUAUUGGGUUUAAAGGGUGCGCAGGCGGGGACGUAAGUCAGUGGUGAAAAGCUGCCGCUUAACGGUAGUCUUGCCAAUGAUACUGCGUUUCUUGAGUAUGGUUAAGGUAGGCGGAAUGUGCAGUGUAGCGGUGAAAUGCAUAGAUAUUGCACAGAAGGCCGAUUGCGGAGGCAGCUUACUAAUCCAUCAUUGACGCUGAGGCACGAAAGCGUGGGGAUCAAACAGGA
RNAcentral lists this ribosomal RNA (254 nucleotides) under uncultured prokaryote. RNAcentral's name for it is "partial 16S ribosomal RNA". It matches the Rfam family "Bacterial small subunit ribosomal RNA", at positions 524 to 777 of the family's 1533-position model. The record is from RNAcentral.